RNAcentral lists this unclassified non-coding RNA (403 nucleotides) under fungal sp. RNAcentral describes it as "partial internal transcribed spacer region". The stretch from base 1 to 46 matches the Rfam family "Eukaryotic small subunit ribosomal RNA", at positions 1786 to 1831 of the family's 1831-position model. Lineage: Eukaryota; Fungi. The record is from RNAcentral.
AAGUCGUAACAAGGUUUCCGUAGGUGAACCUGCGGAAGGAUCAUUAACACGUGUUUAAUACCACGUUUCAACUCAACCCGUAGAAUCGUUUUCUUGUCUCACUGAUAGCUUGGUGAUGAGAGAGGGAAGGGUGUGAAUGGUGGAAUUUCGCUAUUCUAACUCACUUGUCUGUGGUCCAGACUUCGGUCUGAGGCCAAAGCUGGGCUGUCAGUGUUAUUGCCUGUUCCAGACUGUGGGCCUGCACCUUGGACUGCAUCUGGAACAUAUUUUUUCUUUUUUCGUUUAAUCUGAUAUGAGCACUCGCUCGUGAAUUCCUGGCUUACUUGUGAGCUGGUUGAGUUUGCUUGAGCUUGUGUGAUAAACUAACAAAAAACAACUCUUAGCAACGGAUAUCUUGGUUCUC